UGAGGAAUUUUCCGCAAUGGGCGCAAGCCUGACGGAGCAAUGCCGCGUGAAGGAAGAAGGCCCGUGGGUUGUAAACUUCUUUUCUUAGAGAAGAAUCCGAGAGGAGGACGGUAUUUGAGGAAUAAGCAUCGGCUAACCCUGUGCCAGCAGCCGCGGUAAUACAGAGGAUGCAAGCGUUAUCCGGAAUGAUUGGGCGUAAAGGGUCUGUAGGUGGUUUUGACAGUCUGCUGUUAAAUCUCAGGGCUCAACCCUGUUAAGGCAGCAUGAAACUACAAAUCUUGAGUACGGUAGGGGCAGAGGGAAUUCCCGGUGGAGUGGUGAAAUACGUAGAUCUCGGGAAGAACACCAAAGGCGAAAGCACUCUGCUGGGCCGAGACUGACACUGAGGGACGAAAGCUAGGGGAGCGAAAGG
This 412-nucleotide ribosomal RNA is filed under the name uncultured bacterium. RNAcentral describes it as "bacterial SSU rRNA". It matches the Rfam family "Bacterial small subunit ribosomal RNA", at positions 355 to 775 of the family's 1533-position model. The record is from RNAcentral.